RNAcentral lists this transfer RNA (90 nucleotides) under Bacillota bacterium. RNAcentral's name for it is "Firmicutes bacterium (anaerobic digester metagenome) tRNA-Ser". It matches the Rfam family "tRNA". Rfam says of the family: Transfer RNA (tRNA) molecules are approximately 80 nucleotides in length. The record is from RNAcentral. Lineage: Bacteria; Bacillati; Bacillota.
GGAGAGAUGGCCGAGUGGUUGAAGGCGCACGCCUGGAGAGCGUGUAAGGGGGAAACCCCUUCUCGGGUUCGAAUCCCGAUCUCUCCGCCA